RNAcentral lists this ribosomal RNA (253 nucleotides) under uncultured bacterium. RNAcentral describes it as "partial 16S ribosomal RNA". It matches the Rfam family "Bacterial small subunit ribosomal RNA", at positions 524 to 776 of the family's 1533-position model. The record is from RNAcentral.
UACGUAGGUGGCGAGCGUUGUCCGGAAUUACUGGGCGUAAAGGAUGCGUAGGUGGAUAUUUAAGUGGGAUGUGAAAUCCCCGGGCUCAACCCGGGAACUGCAUUCCAAACUGGAUAUCUAGAGUGCAGGAGAGGAAAGCGGAAUUCCUAGUGUAGCGGUGAAAUGCGUAGAUAUUAGGAGGAACACCAGUGGCGAAGGCGGCUUUCUGGACUGUAACUGACACUGAGGCAUGAAAGCGUGGGUAGCAAACAGG